UACGUAGGUGGCAAGCGUUGUUCGGAAUUAUUGGGCGUAAAGGGCGCGUAGGCGGUUUGUUAAGUCGGCUGUGAAAGCCCGGGGCUCAACCCCGGAGGGUCAGCCGAUACUGGCAGACUAGAGUACGGAAGAGGUAGCUGGAAUUCCCGGUGUAGCGGUGAAAUGCGUAGAUAUAGGAAGGAACACCAGUGGCGAAGGCGACUACCUGGACUGAUACUGACACUGAGGUGCGAAAGCGUGGGGAGCAAACAGG
This 253-nucleotide ribosomal RNA is filed under the name uncultured prokaryote. RNAcentral's name for it is "partial 16S ribosomal RNA". It matches the Rfam family "Bacterial small subunit ribosomal RNA", at positions 524 to 776 of the family's 1533-position model. The record is from RNAcentral.